CGCAUGUUUGAUCAUGGCUCAGAUUGAACGCUGGCGGCAUGCCUUACACAUGCAAGUCGAACGGUAACAGGUUAAGCUGACGAGUGGCGAACGGGUGAGUAAUGUAUCGGAACGUGCCCAGUCGUGGGGGAUAACUGCUCGAAAGAGCAGCUAAUACCGCAUACGCCCUACGGGGGAAAGCAGGGGAUCGCAAGACCUUGCACUAUUAGAGCGGCCGAUAUCGGAUUAGCUAGUUGGUGGGGUAACGGCUCACCAAGGCGACGAUCCGUAACUGGUUUGAGAGGACGACCAGCCACACUGGGACUGAGACACGGCCCAGACUCCUACGGGAGGCAGCAGUGGGGAAUUUUGGACAAUGGGGGAAACCCUGAUCCAGCCAUCCCGCGUGUGCGAUGAAGGCCUUCGGGUUGUAAAGCACUUUUGGCAUGAAAGAAACGUCAUGGGCUAAUACCCCGUGAAACUGACGGUACCUGCAGAAUAAGCACCGGCUAACUACGUGCCACCAGCCGCGGUAAUACGUAGGGUGCAAGCGUUAAUCGGAAUUACUGGGCGUAGAGCGUGCGCA
RNAcentral lists this ribosomal RNA (565 nucleotides) under uncultured bacterium. RNAcentral describes it as "bacterial SSU rRNA". It matches the Rfam family "Bacterial small subunit ribosomal RNA", at positions 1 to 573 of the family's 1533-position model. The record is from RNAcentral.